Molecule: non-coding RNA, 175 nt
Organism: Vicia faba (fava bean)
Lineage: Eukaryota; Viridiplantae; Streptophyta; Magnoliopsida; Fabales; Fabaceae
Source: the annotation of a GenBank genome assembly
AUGAGCGGCGGCGGUGGUGGCGGCUCUAGGGUUCCGAUCCCCAACAAUGUACGGAAUACCAUCAUUGACAUCAGAGAGAUCACCGGAAAACAGCACACCGACGACGAAAUCUACGCCGUCCUUAAAGAAUGUUCCAUGGAUCCCAAUGAGACCGCUCAGAAGCUUCUCUAUUUAG